CUCACUCGUCUCAAACCAUGAUCUCUUCAUCUCUCUGGUUGUUGCUGCUGCUGGCAGCUGUUUCUCGUGUCCACUGUGUUGAACUGAUCCAGACUGAUUCUAUGGUCUUAAGUCCUGGUCAGGUUUUGACACUGUCCUGUAAACUCUCUGGAUAUACAGUGACUGACAGCUACUGCACUGGCUUCAUUCGGCAGCCUGCAGGAAAAGCUCUGGAAUGGGUUGGAUACAUAUGUGGUAGCGGUAGCACAUAUUACAGUGAUAAACUGAAAAGUAGAUUUCAAGUCUCCAGAGAUUCUUCCAGCAACACAGUGACUCUUCAAGGACAGAAUAUGCAGACUGAGGACACAUCUGUGUAUUACUGCGCCAGAGACUCACCGUGA
This is a non-coding RNA of Carassius auratus (goldfish), 380 nucleotides long. The record is from the annotation of a RefSeq genome assembly. NCBI's taxonomy places the organism in Eukaryota, Metazoa, Chordata, Actinopteri, Cypriniformes, Cyprinidae.